AGACGUAGGGGGCGAGCGUUGUCCGGAAUUACUGGGCGUAAAGAGCACGUAGGCGGAUAUUUAAGUCAGGUGUGAAAGACCGCAGCUCAACUGCGGGGUUGCACCUGAAACUGGGUAUCUUGAGGGCAGGAGAGGGAAGUGGAAUUCCUGGUGUAGCGGUGAAAUGCGUAGAAAUCAGGAGGAACACCAGUGGCGAAGGCGGCUACCUGGACCGAUACUGACGCUGAGACGCGAAAGCGUGAGGAGC
RNAcentral lists this ribosomal RNA (247 nucleotides) under uncultured bacterium. RNAcentral describes it as "partial 16S ribosomal RNA". It matches the Rfam family "Bacterial small subunit ribosomal RNA", at positions 523 to 769 of the family's 1533-position model. The record is from RNAcentral.